RNAcentral lists this long non-coding RNA (1158 nucleotides) under Lonchura striata (white-rumped munia). RNAcentral's name for it is "domestica (Bengalese finch) lncRNA (ENSLSDG00000001463.1)". The record is from RNAcentral. Lineage: Eukaryota; Metazoa; Chordata; Aves; Passeriformes; Estrildidae.
GCAGCCAAUCCAACGCCAUGGGAAAGCUCUGGGAAUGCUCUGGGAAUGCUCUGGGAAUGCUCUGGGAAAGCUCUGGGAAAGCUCUGGGAAAGCUCUGGGAAAGCUCUGGGAAUGCUCUGGGAAUGCUCUGGGGACACACACAGCCAAUCCCAUGGGAAUGCUGGGAACACGCAGCCAAUCCCUUGGGAAUGCUCAGGGAAUGCUCAGGGAAAGCUCUGGGAAUGCUCAGGGAAUGCUCAGGGAAAGCUCUGGGAAUGCUCAGGGAAUGCUCUGGAAAAGCUCUGGGAAUGCUCUGGGGACACACAGCCAAUCCCAUGGGAAUGCUCAGGGAAUGCUCUGGGAAAGCUCUGGGAAUGCUCAGGGAAAGCUCUGGGAAUGCUCUGGGAAUGCUCUGGGAAUGCUCUGGGGACACACACAGCCAAUCCCAUGGGAAUGCUCAGGGAAUGCUCUGGGAAAGCUCUGGGAAUGCUCUGGGAAUGCUCUGGGAAUGCUCUGGGAAUGCUCUGGGAAUGCUCUGGGAAUGCUCUGGGGACACACACAGCCAAUCCCUUGGGAAUGCUCUGGGAAUGCUCUGGGAAUGCUCUGGGAAUGCUCUGGGAAUGCUCUGGGAAUGCUCUGGGAAUGCUCUGGGAAAGCUCUGGGGACACACACAGCCAAUCCCUUGGGAAUGCUCUGGGAAAGCUCUGGGAAUGCUCUGGGAAUGCUCUGGGAAAGCUCUGGGGACACACACAGCCAAUCCCUUGGGAAUGCUCUGGGAAUGCUCAGGGAAAGCUCUGGGGACACACGCGGCCGAUCCCCCGGGAAGCUCCAGCUCCAGGCGCUGGGAUCCAGCGGGAUCGAUCCUACCUCCCCUGGAUCCUACCUGCCCUCGGCUGCUCCAGGGAAAGCCGGGAGCUCCGGCGGGAGCGCGGCGGCUGCUCCGCCCCGGCCGCGCUCCUCCUGCGCUCCCCGUCCCCUGCGGGACAGGGAAAGGCCGGGAAUUGGGAAUCCCGGGAAAACCCGCUGGGAAAAACUCCGGAAUUGGGAAUUCCAGGGAAAAACCCGCUGGGAAAAACUCCAGAAUUGGGAAUUCCGGGGAAAACACGCUGGGAAAAACUCCGGAAUUGGGAAUUAUUCAGGGGAAAACCCGCUGGGAAAAAUCUCGACAAUUGGGAAUUC